AAAUGAAGAUUAUUGGGAAUUUGAAUUGAAAAUUCCAAUUAGUUUCCGAUUUUUUAAUAUUUUUCCCGAUAUUUUUCCACUUUUUUCCCGCCAAAUAUAAAUAAAUCGCGUCUAAUCUGUGCAUCUUCAAGAAUGAGAGACGUAGAGAGAAAUUGAAAAGAACUAGGGUUUCGAAAUUUAAAAGAAAAGCAAAUGGAGAAGAGAAAAAUCAGAAAUAAUUGCAGCAAUGGAAGAGUCAGGAUCAACAGAGGGGGCAUGGAAGCGAAAACUUCAGCAAUUCUCGACUCUGCCGAAUCUCACAAAGAUUCUCAAGACGCCAAAGGCAUCGUUGCCAUUUGUGGUUUCUUCAGAUGUUAUGCGUAGUGACAGAGAAGCCACUCGGAAAAACUCCUGUGAAUUGUUUGAUUCCAAUUCCUUAGGAAAUAUGUUACUGUUUCAAUAUCUUAUCAAUGUUCUUGAAGGAGAUUUUCUACCCUGUAUCAAUAUAUAUAAAGAAACCAUGAACUGGAACCUUUGGAGGGAGUGCUUACUCAACAAAUUUCUCUGCUACCUUUUGUUUCUUACAUUCUUACAUAUUUCAUUAAAUGGGUUAAGUUAUUUUCUCACUGAGUCUUCUAUUUGGCUGCUCAUGCUAGAUUUAGUGUCCUUUUGGAUUCUACUGCACUUUCGAUACGAUGCGAUUGAACUCACUGCACUAUCAAUUGAAUUUAAAUGCUAAUUUUAAUGAGAUCAAUUCAGCAUAAAUUUUUCAUUAAAUUUUUUUUCAAUUACAGUUAUAGUAACUGUUUUUUUUAAUCGUAACUAUAACAAUUUUUAUUACUAUUUUCAAUCUCACUACAAUCAAUUUCACUGCUCGUCUAAAUAAAGCCUUAUUUUGUGGGAUUCAAGAAGAGUCAACCAAAGGUUUUAAUGAAAGAUUGCUUGUCUACAAUCUGUGGGCUGUGCCAAGAUUAUGCUGGAAUCAGUAAUGAGUCUGACUGUUCUGAGACUUCUAUGGGAAAAUCAUCUGAGAAUCAUAAUACUGAUUUAGCAAUUGCUGUACUUGAAGUAAAAAAUACUACUUCUAUGGGUAUGCAGAAACUUCUGAUAAUGGUUAGAUCCCAAGAUGUUAUUGAAUAUAAGAUAUUUCUAAAUCAUUUUCACUAUCAUCUCUGACUUUGUGGACCUCUUUAGAUUAUGGAGCUUGACAUCUGUGACAUGACAUGAGAUUAAUAAGUGGCAGGUGCUUGGAACGAUGACUUUUCCAUUGAAAGUUUGUGGGGUUGUUUCCAUGGUCCCUUAUUCAAAAUGUUAAUUGAUCUCGCGUUAAGUUUUGCUCAACUCCUGAUACGAGGGUAAUCAAGAAUUGAGAAACUUAAUCAGAAUUAUCUUCACUGAAAAUGCGUGCUUUGUUGUUGUAGUCUUGUAGAUAAGACAUGACAGUCACGAGACAACUGCAAAUCUAAGCUUGAAGCCAAAAGCUGGAAUAUUUUUGUGAUAUUACCUCUGAAAAUUGGUCUUGUAGAGCCUACUUGUCCAUGUCAUCACAGCAACAUCUUUGGCACGUCUGAUUGCAAGGAAGCUGUAAUAUAGCUCUCUCAUGGAAGUAUCUAAGAACGUAAUUGCUGCUUUGAAUAGUCUAAGAGGAGCAGAUGAGAGCAUUGAGAUUUCAUCCCUUGGAAAAGCAUUGUUUACAGCUGCAAUGAUGAUUUCAACAACUUCAUAGGAGUUCAAGAAAACAUGCAGAUGACUUCUGGUUUUCAAAGGGUCGCAUACUGAAGGCAUAGCAGGGGGAGAUGGAAAAGGAGUGCAUGGGUUUUGCGGCCCUUUUUCUUAGUUCGCUUAAAAGGAAGCUUUUUGUACUCAAAAUUUGAA
Molecule: non-coding RNA, 1854 nt
Organism: Durio zibethinus
Lineage: Eukaryota; Viridiplantae; Streptophyta; Magnoliopsida; Malvales; Malvaceae
Source: RefSeq, a predicted model, not a curated record